UGGGAUAUAGUUUAACGGCUAGAAUGUGUGGUUCAUACCCGCAAGAUAUUGGUUCGAGUCCAUUUAUCCCAACCA
RNAcentral lists this transfer RNA (75 nucleotides) under Caudoviricetes sp. RNAcentral's name for it is "tRNA-Met". It matches the Rfam family "tRNA". Rfam says of the family: Transfer RNA (tRNA) molecules are approximately 80 nucleotides in length. Their secondary structure includes four short double-helical elements and three loops (D, anti-codon, and T loops). Further hydrogen bonds mediate the characteristic L-shaped molecular structure. tRNAs have two regions of fundamental functional importance: the anti-codon, which is responsible for specific mRNA codon recognition, and the 3' end, to which the tRNAs corresponding amino acid is attached (by aminoacyl-tRNA synthetases). tRNAs cope with the degeneracy of the genetic code in two manners: having more than one tRNA (with a specific anti-codon) for a particular amino acid; and 'wobble' base-pairing, i.e. permitting non-standard base-pairing at the 3rd anti-codon position. Lineage: Duplodnaviria; Heunggongvirae; Uroviricota; Caudoviricetes. The record is from RNAcentral.